GUUAUUUCUACCUUUAACUUACGAAGUGACACUAUCAUUUUCUAUAAUGGUUGCCUGUCCUACAGUCCCACAAGCAUGCUCUCAGGUUGUUUUCAGCAGAAAUCAUUGCCACCUCACACUGCUCCCAAGAACACAACUCUGGUGACAAGAAUCAAGAGUCCCAGAGUUGAUCUUUUUCCAUUGAGGGAUAAGGAGAGGACCAAGCCUUACACUGUAGUCAGGGGAUGCAGAAAUGCACAAGAAGAGAAUAGUCUGACUGGACAGAGAAAGGCAGCAUUCAAAGAAGGUACAACAGCACCUGAACUUAAACAUGACACCCUCCAAGAGGAGCGUAAAUCCGCCAUCUGCCCAGCACUGCUUCAGGGUGCACCUGGUCAGAUGUGUGCCGUUGUAAGAGUUGUGUUCAUGGGAUCUACAGACUGCAACAGAUGCCAGACAGACUCUCAGACAAAGCCUCCUUGUUGCUGUUUGUCUCCAGAUAGUUCAAUCCAGGUCUUUUGUUUUGUUUUGUUUUGUUUUUUGUUUCUGGGAAAAUAAAUAAAUGUUUGGAUUUCUAACAAUACUUCCCACCUCUGAGCAAAACUAAUUUAUGAUACUUCAUAUACAGUGUGCAGAAAUUCCAAAAAGAAAGUAUAUCCCUGUCACCCAACCCUGACUUAUACAUGGAGGGUCUGGGGGAGCAGAAGGAGAGCCAGCAGGUGUGGUGGUUUGAAUAUGGUUUGAAAGGGCUAGGGGUGUGGCCUUGUUGGAGGAAGUGUGUUUUGGGGAGUUUCAAAAAUGCAAGCCAGGCCCAGGGUCUCUCGCUUCAUGCUUCGCGCUUUCUCUGGAUUCUAAUGUAGAACUCUCAGCUACAUCUUCAGUGCCGUGUCUGCCUGCAUGCUGCCAUGUGUCCCAACCUGCCAAUAAUGGACUAAACCUCUGAAAGUGUAUGCAAGUCCCAGUUAAAUGCUUUCUUUUAUAAGAGCUGUUGUGGUCAUGGUAUGUAGUCACAGCAAUAGAACACCGAGUAAGAUGGGAAGACAUGCUUUCUGAUUUCUGGUUAACUUGGUUAACUUGAGCUAGCCUUAGAAUGCUUCAGUGUGAAACACUGUAGAUUUGAAAACGACUGAGUACUUUAUGAUCUUCCUGUCAAAGCCCCUUCGAAUACUGGGACCUAGCAAUCCUAUAAUGGCUCCUUCUUUAGGAAGACCAGAACAUUCUCAGUUGCUAGAAAACCUCAGGAGAUCCCAUGUUCCAGAAUUUCCCUCUUUGGGCUUUAUUCUCUAUGCAAGAUGUUUGUGGGUUUUCUUAUUGUAAAAUUAGGGUUGUCAUAGAGACAUCUGUUUCAAACCAAAUAUAUUAUGGUCCCAGAAAACUGGGUUUAUUUAUGAACAUGUUAGCACUACUCAAUAGAGGAGCACAGCUCAGGUGGGGAGGCAUCUAUGGUAGAUGGCUUCUGGGUAAACUUAAACCUCUGAGGAUUAAUGCAAAAUUAUU
This is a long non-coding RNA of Mus musculus (house mouse), 1476 nucleotides long. RefSeq annotates it as RIKEN cDNA C130023O10 gene. The transcript has a single exon. Lineage: Eukaryota; Metazoa; Chordata; Mammalia; Rodentia; Muridae. The record is from RefSeq and is marked validated.